AUUGAACGCUGGCGGCAUGCCUUACACAUGCAAGUCGAACGGUAACGGGCCUUCGGGUGCCGACGAGUGGCGAACGGGUGAGUAAUGUAUCGGAACGUACCAUUCAGUGGGGGAUAACGUAGCGAAAGUUACGCUAAUACCGCAUAUUCUGUGAGCAGGAAAGCAGGGGAUCGCAAGACCUUGCGCUGAUUGAGCGGCCGAUAUCAGAUUAGCUAGUUGGUGAGGUAAAGGCUCACCAAGGCGACGAUCUGUAGCGGGUCUGAGAGGAUGAUCCGCCACACUGGAACUGAGACACGGUCCAGACUCCUACGGGAGGCAGCAGUGGGGAAUUUUGGACAAUGGGGGCAACCCUGAUCCAGCCAUGCCGCGUGAGUGAAGAAGGCC
This 384-nucleotide ribosomal RNA is filed under the name uncultured bacterium. RNAcentral describes it as "bacterial SSU rRNA". It matches the Rfam family "Bacterial small subunit ribosomal RNA", at positions 30 to 416 of the family's 1533-position model. The record is from RNAcentral.